This 468-nucleotide ribosomal RNA is filed under the name uncultured bacterium. Its description in RNAcentral is "partial 16S ribosomal RNA". It matches the Rfam family "Bacterial small subunit ribosomal RNA", at positions 28 to 507 of the family's 1533-position model. The record is from RNAcentral.
GACGAACGCUGGCGGCGUGCUUAACACAUGCAAGUCGAACGGAAAGGCCCUGCUUUUGUGGGGUGCUCGAGUGGCGAACGGGUGAGUAACACGUGAGUAACCUGCCCUUGACUUUGGGAUAACUUCAGGAAACUGGGGCUAAUACCGGAUAGGAGCUCCUGCUGCAUGGUGGGGGUUGGAAAGUUUCGGCGGUUGGGGAUGGACUCGCGGCUUAUCAGCUUGUUGGUGGGGUAGUGGCUUACCAAGGCUUUGACGGGUAGCCGGCCUGAGAGGGUGACCGGCCACAUUGGGACUGAGAUACGGCCCCGACUCCUACGGGAGGCAGCAGUGGGGAAUAUUGCCCAAUGGGCGGAAGCCUGAUGCAGCAACGCCGCGUGCGGGAUGACGGCCUUCGGGUUGUAAACCGCUUUCGCCUGUGACGAAGCGUGAGUGACGGUAAUGGGUAAAGAAGCACCGGCUAACUACGUG